Molecule: long non-coding RNA, 813 nt
Filed under: Triticum aestivum (bread wheat)
Lineage: Eukaryota; Viridiplantae; Streptophyta; Magnoliopsida; Poales; Poaceae
Description: long non-coding RNA (TAES_LNC017271)
Source: RNAcentral
CUGCUGAGGAGGUGGGAAGGGAAGUGAACUCUGUCUAUGCUUGAUCUGAACUUUCUGCUGAGGAGGUGAGAAGAAGAUGAAGUUUGUGGUGGGUCAUUAGGAACGACCAUGAAGACUCUUUUUGGCAAGCUGGAUCGACGGCCUUCGAGGGUGUGCGCCCGCCAGUGAGUCAGUGACUGCUCAAGACUCCUCAGUAACCAGCUUAUUGUCCAGUUUGCAGGUGCCUCCUAUGCUCCCCAUCUCCACUUUCUGUUGUCUGGUAGUUUUCGUUCCCUUGCCAUGGCAAUUGAUGUUACCAACCAACCAUUAUCGUUGAGGUGUUUUUACUCAAUUAAUUAGCACUGUGACAUAUAAAAAUGUAUAAAUUGGAAAAUGCCAUUCAGUAAAUUCUUGAAGUGCAUAAUGUCCACAAUUUCCUCAGCAUCAUAUGCAAGCAAUGACAUGGGAUGAGAAACUUUAGGUAUUGUUUGUUUGCAUUUCAUUUUGGCCAGGGGAUAACAUAGUGGUGUUGACAUAUGUUGUGGUUACCAAUUCUGUAAGCCGUGAUAUAUGGAAAAAAAUUGGGUGUAUUGUUCAACAGUAAUAGGUAAAACUUAAGUUUACAUAGGUUCCUUGAAUAGGACAAUUUGACAUUCACAAGAAUUGUUUCAUGAUCUGAUUAGACAUGUGGAGCCUUUUUUCUAUUUAAUUAUUUUCGAUGGUGACCGUACCCUUAUCUCUCUUUUUUCAUUUCUUUCAUAGAUCAACAACAACAGGGGACAGAUUAUACUAGCAAAGUCUUGCACAGAAAAAAGAAGACUUUUAUUAAACAGC